Neofelis nebulosa (Clouded leopard) is the source of this 3508-nucleotide long non-coding RNA. RefSeq lists it as uncharacterized. The record is from RefSeq and is a predicted model, not a curated record. The transcript has 3 exons. NCBI's taxonomy places the organism in Eukaryota, Metazoa, Chordata, Mammalia, Carnivora, Felidae.
ACUUAAGGAAGAAGAUGUGAGACCCUGGGAAGUUACACAAAACAGGAAGAUCUACCCUGGGGGCAGCACUCUGGUGCUGGGGAAUAGCACAGACCAGCUAACAGUGACCUCAUCAGCUACAGAAAAAGGCAGCAUACCGAAGACAAGAUGGGAGAAACCAGGAAUCAGAGGCUGAUUUGUGUGUGAUGAAAAGAAUGUCAACAACAAGGAACAACAACAACAAAAGAGAAGAAGGGAGAAGAAUAGAAAUAUCUGCAGAAGUGAAAAAACAACUCAUCUGAAGGGGGACAGGUUAUCAAGGUAACAAAAUAUAUGGAAGAUCUCUUAUGUAAGGCCUUUCUAAAGAAAAUUUGUCAUUUGUUCAGUCAACAAUAUUGAGUAGCUACCAUGUACUAAGUACAUGCUAGGCCUUUGCUCUCAUGCAGUUUAUAUUCUAGUGGGAGAGACAGAUUUUAAUCAAAUAAUUAAGCAAACUAAAAAAUAAUUGCCAAUAAGGUAUGUGCUACAAGGGAAAAAUGUGUAAUGGGUAACCUGACUUUGAGGGAAUAAGGAAGGCUUCCUUGGAAGAAGGGAUGUUUGAGUAGAGAAGGACGAGUGAAAGGUAAGUUGGCAAUGGGAAUGAAGAGAAGAAGUGUGUUCCAGGAGAAGUGGACAGCAUGAAUAAAGGUCCUGAGGUGGGAUGGCAGAACGAAAAGAAAAUCAGAUAUCUUAAAUGCAGCAAAGGCCUGGGAGAGUGACCCAGGCAGGAAAAGACCCAAGUCAGCAGGGCCUCAUCUGCAAGAUUCCAGAGCCAAAGAAGGAGCUGGUAUGUUGGACAGCAGAGCUGAUGCAGAGAGCUGGAGCAGGAGGUGAUGGCCUCCUCAGCCCCCUUGCUGGUACUCAAUCGAGAUAAGCCUGCAUCUGUCAAAGGCACACAAAUCAGACCCAAACUGAAACUCUUUCCAGGAUAAUUCUCAGAACUGUCAACACAUGGCUUACCAAAAAACCAAAUCCACCCAACACUGUGAUCUUUCCAAAUAUUUCUAAACCUAUAAUGAAUUUUUAAGAAUUGGAAAUAAUUCAAGUGGGUUUUUUUUAAGACUUAAAAAAAUUUUUUUUAAUGUUUAUUUUUGAGAGAGAAAGAAAGCAUAAGUGGGCGAGGGGCAGAGACACACACACACACACACACACACACACACACACACACACACAGAAUCCAAAGCAGGCUCCAGGCUAUCAGCACAGAGCCUGAUGUGGGGCUUGAACUCACAAGCCACGAGAUCAUGACCUGAGCUGAAGUUGGAGCUUAACCAACUGAGCCACCCAGGUACCCCUUAAGACUUUAUUUUUAAGUAAUUUCUAUACCCAUUGUGGGGCUUGAACUUACAAUCCUGAGAUCGAGAGUUGCAUGCUCUAUCGAUUGAGCCAGCUAAGUGCCCCUCAAAUGGGGUUUCUGAAAUGGUCUGUGUUCUCAUAUACUGUUGGUAGGAGAGAAAAUUAGCAUGUCCCCUUAGGAAGGCAAUUUGGUAAUAAUUAUCAAAGCAUAAAAUGCAUAUUCCCUUACACCUAGCAAUUCCAUUCUAGGCACUCUGACAUACACAAAUACAUGUUUAAGAUAUACACAUAAGGAUGUUCAUCACAACCUUGUUUGCAAUAUCAAAAAGGAAAAAAAGGCAGAAACAAAUAUCCAUCAAUAUGGGAAGGUUAAAUAAAGUAUAGUAUAUCUGUACAAUGGAAUAUUAUGGAGCCUUUUUAAAAAACGAGGUAGAGCCAAAUGUGCUGCUUUUAAGAGGAUUUUCAGACAGGGACGCAUGGGUGGCUCAGUUGGUUAAGCCUCCAACUCUUGAUUUCGGCUCAGAUCAUGAUCUCAUGGUUCCUGGGUUCGAGCCCUGCAUUGGGCUCUGUACUCAUAUUGUGGAGCCUGCUUGGGAUUCUCCUCUCUCUCUGCCCCUUCCCAACUCUCAUCCUCAUGAGCUCGCUCACUCUCUCUCUCAAAAUAAAUAAACUAAAAAAAAAAAAAAGAUUUUCGGACAUAUUAAGUGAAAAAUGUAUGAUUCAGAAUAGACUGUAUAAUGCUAUCCCGUUUGAGUUUUAAAAUUUACAUGUAAACUGGUAGCAGGCUUUUUAAAACAUUAUGUUCUAUUUCCCUGCUCUCCCUAUUUAUGCCAAAAACCUUCCCUAUUUUGGAAACCAGAAAGAAGCACCCUGUUGCCACCGUACUGGUGAACAGAGGUUUCAAAUUAGUGGUUCCAGGCUUAGGCAGAAACAGGUACCAGAUACCAUGCCCUCCUAUAAAGAUGCUUAUAAAGUAGUAGCAAGUCACUGGUGAAGGGCACCUUGCUCCUGUCUUGGGUUGAGUCCUAUGGAAUGAAUGUUGGACCCCUAGAUAAGCUUAGGGAUCCAAGACUAGAGGGCAGUGUCCUGCCUUGGACAGAAGCCCCAGAGCAUUGCUCUACAUCACUGCCAUCACCAAUGCAUCAUGGGGAAAACAACACUGCCUGCGUGGGGUGGGGGGGUGGGGGGCAAGGCAGGCCUGGUGUGGCCAUGUGGAGACACUGGAAAGAGGGGGGCAGGCCAAUAUUUUCCCAUGGGGAAGUGGCUUAGGGUAGUGACAAGGGCACACCUUAGAAAAAUGUAUCUUAGUAGACACCAAUGUGUAAGGGUAACCACAUCUAAGAACCAGACCAACCAAUGGUUCAUCUUAAUGGGACCAGAAGAGCUAGGAUCAGAUGUUCACUUUCUACCUAUCCUAUUGACCUGUGGAGAGGACAGUUGUUCUAGAAAGGCAAAACUCCUAUUUACCUUUUCAAUUGCUUGGCUUGAGCCAGCUGUUCUCUAGAAUUUCUCUCUCCUUCCCCAUACAUGCUUCCUACUCAUGCUUUCAGAAGCAGCUCAGUGUCACUUCUUCUGUGAAGCCUUCUGGCUUCUAAUCAUUCCAUCUUCUGGGCUUUUAACAUGGCUUGAAUAAACUUCUGUAGCGUUUGAUCAGAGAAACAGAACACUAUGAGGAAAUUAAGGAUUUAGUGUAGGGAUUACAUCUUGUGCAGUUAUGGAAGUUGAUGGAGAAAUCCAAGCAACUCUGUCACCUCUGCAUCUGGUGUUGUGCCUGAAGUCUCUAUAUAUAAGCAAGGCCAGCAGUUGGGAAGGAGAGCUGGAUGUGAAGUGGAGGAGAGCAAGGAAAACUGGAACUUAUGAAAACAAACCAGAUCCUAUGAAGACAAGUAGAACUCUUGAGGACAAAUGAAACCUGUGACUUCUUUCACCAUUUCCAAGCUCAUGAACUUAUAGGAGGAGCUGGAGCCCUUUGUCAUAGAGCUGAAUGGACAUCUGGCCGAGCACUCGGAGUAUCUGAAGGAGGACAUUCAGCAGGAGUUGGGGAGCUGCCGGCCUGAGUGCUAUAUCCUACACCAACAAGGUGAACCAGCAGAUCAGUGUCAAAAGCAUGGAAUAGACAUGAGGUGCCCAUCAGUGAAUAAAGCUCUCUCUUUCUUGUGACAAGCAAGCAAGCAAGCAAGCAAGAAGCUCCCAA